This is a long non-coding RNA of Trifolium pratense (red clover), 1512 nucleotides long. RefSeq lists it as uncharacterized. The transcript has 7 exons. The record is from RefSeq and is a predicted model, not a curated record. NCBI's taxonomy places the organism in Eukaryota, Viridiplantae, Streptophyta, Magnoliopsida, Fabales, Fabaceae.
UAUAUUUAAUUAAAUUAAAUAUAAAAAAGAAACUAAUUGUUAAGCGCCCAUUGUUUUCCACAAAUUUCCAUUUUCCCACAUUUUUUUCAUUCCCACUCUUAUAAUAACAUUUUAAAUUUUAUAUCUUAAUUUUUUUUCACCAAUUUGUUUCUUAACACAGAUAUUUUCCCAAAAACAUAACAUUUCGCUAAAACGAAAAGCAAAAUGAGUGAGACGAUUCCGACACCUAAUCGCACAAUACGCUGCCGUCAAUCCUCCUCCGCUGUUCAAUCUCCUCCGCCACCGUUUAUUCUCCACCGUCGCUGUUUAAUCUGGAAGCACAAUCCGUUAAUCUCUCGGUUGUUCUCCUUCAAACCCUACUCCGUCGAAGAACCACAACCCCUCCGCCGUUCUCUGUCGUUCUUUGCAUUUCCAAGGAAGGAACCAACUACACACUCCUCCAUAAAUAUGUUUUUGUCAUGGAAGCAAGCUUAUGAAAGAUUGUAAUUAUUAAAGCAAGCUUUCAAGUUUCAAUUCAGGAGGCUGCUCUAGGUAGUAGAAAAAGGAAUUCAAUGGAAGCUUUUGAUAAGGUAAAAAUUUGCUCCCUUUAAAAAUGGUUUGAUCACAAAUGAAUUUUUUUUGAAAGAUGCAUCUGUUUUCUUAAGCUUUGUGUUGUUCUACUUUGGUACUUCAGACUUUGUCAAUUCUUUCAAAUUUGAUUAGAUUUCCUUUGAUGAUAGUAUAUAUACAUGCAUUUACCUUAUGUAUUUGGUCUAGAUUAGGCGGAUUUAUGGUUGAUAUUGAUUUCCUUUGCGUUUAUAUUGAUUUUUGUUUGUUUUUAAAUGUUUCUCUUUGUGUGUGGAAUGACUAAUGAGAUGUGUGCACCAUGCUGAACUUGCAAAGGCCUUUACUUCUCUACAAUUUGUUAUGUCAAGAUAUUGUGUAUUCAACCUUACAUUUGCUAUUGCAUGGUCAAAUCUUGCCGGUCUGUUCGUGGAACCUGGUAAUUUCAACAGAGCCCUACAAUAAAACAAGGUUCCUCCACCGUUACCUAACAAGUGUGAUUGGGAAAUCGAUCCUUAUGAGCUCGACUUUUAAAAUUAUUCGCGAAUUGGAAAGGUUGUUACUGAUGAUUUGAAAGUGCCUAAAAGUACAAGUGUCUAUUAUGGGCUAUACUUGUGUUGCAUGACAUGAAAGGAAGAUCAAAAGAAAUGCAACUUGUAAAAAGGAUGCUUCGUAAGUUAUCAAGACAUGUAGUAAUCAACACUAUGCAAACACCGUCGUCACGAUUUUGUCUUACAAAUUAUAUAUUUGGUUUUGAUAGUUUUUUGGUGGACUUUACUUUCAAUUUGUUAGACAUAUACUUAGUUUUUUUUCUUAGUGUUAUUGUUGUAUGACAUAAUGGUUGUCACUUUUAAGAUUCUCAAAAUUCACACUACCUUUAAUUUAUUUGUGGGUUGAUCUAUUGUGGUUGUCACUUUGUAAUAUAUGACUAUGACUAUUGUUUUAUGGAUCUAUGUGGUUGGGAGAGAA